GACGAACGCUGGCGGCGUGCUUAACACAUGCAAGUCGAACGGUGAAGCGCCUUCCUUUUUGGUGGGUGUGGAUGAGUGGCGAACGGGUGAGUAACACGUGAGUAACCUGCCCCCUUCUUCUGGAUAACCGCAUGAAAGUGUGGCUAAUACGGGAUAUUCUGGGUCUGUCGCAUGAUGGGUCUGGGAAAGAUAUUGUUUCGGUGGGGGAUGGGCUCGCGGCCUAUCAGCUUGUUGGUGGGGUGAUGGCCUACCAAGGCGGUGACGGGUAGCCGGCCUGGGAGGGUGGACGGUCACACUGGGACUGAGACACGGCCCAGACUCCUACGGGAGGCAGCAGUGGGGAAUAUUGCACGAUGGGCGCAAGCCUGAUGCAGCGACGCCGCGUGAGGGAUGGAGGCCUUCGGGUUGUGAACCUCUUUCGCCAGUGAAGCAGGCCUGCCUCGUUUGUGGGUGGGUUGACGGUAGCUGGAUAAGAAGCGCCGGCUAACUACGUG
This 494-nucleotide ribosomal RNA is filed under the name uncultured bacterium. Its description in RNAcentral is "partial 16S ribosomal RNA". It matches the Rfam family "Bacterial small subunit ribosomal RNA", at positions 28 to 507 of the family's 1533-position model. The record is from RNAcentral.